ACGCUCGACACCUACGGGAGUCAGCAGUGAGGAAUAUUGCACAAUGGGGGAAACCCUGAUGCAGCAACGCCGCGUGAAGGAAGAAGGUUUUCGGAUCGUAAACUUCUAUCAAUAGGGACGAAAGAAAUGACGGUACCUAAAUAAGAAGCCCCGGCUAACUACGUGCCAGCAGCCGCGGUAAUCUGAGCGGGCUGGCAAGGC
This 201-nucleotide ribosomal RNA is filed under the name uncultured bacterium. RNAcentral describes it as "partial 16S ribosomal RNA". It matches the Rfam family "Bacterial small subunit ribosomal RNA", at positions 328 to 539 of the family's 1533-position model. The record is from RNAcentral.